AAUUUUAAUCUUUCAGUUUCGACCAUAUUUGGUCACCGAAAGCUCUACCGAACUGUAAUCUCUAGCAGAUAGCAGUCGGAUUUUAUUUUCCACCUUCCGGGUGUCGGAUUGACAUGAAACUUUAAAUCUAGCCUUAUAAAAAUAAUUUCGACAUAUUCUCCAGUUUUCAUAAUUUUCUGACACUGUGCAUUUUCUGCUAAAAUAUCAGUCCCGUUUCGCACAGAAAAUUUCAAAUCUUCUUCUUUCGUUCCGAUUUCUGCACAAGUCAUUUCUGACUUAUAUUUUACCUCUCUAAAUCCAAUAAAAAUAGUAUCUCACACUAUUUUUAUUUAUUUUUAGUUUUAUACCAAAAUUUGGUAUGUUAUAUUCUCCACCCCUUAAAAGAAUUUCGUCUGCGAAAUUCAAACCACGCCUCAAUUCAGCUCCUCGAGCAAUUGAGAGUACCAACUCAUUCUCCCACUCCAGA
This 466-nucleotide long non-coding RNA is filed under the name Ananas comosus (pineapple). RNAcentral's name for it is "long non-coding RNA (ACOM_LNC010234)". Lineage: Eukaryota; Viridiplantae; Streptophyta; Magnoliopsida; Poales; Bromeliaceae. The record is from RNAcentral.